UAGGGAAUCUUCCGCAAUGGGCGAAAGCCUGACGGAGCAACGCCGCGUGAGUGAUGAAGGUCUUCGGAUCGUAAAACUCUGUUAUUAGGGAAGAACAAAUGUGUAAGUAACUAUGCACAUCUUGACGGUACCUAAUCAGAAAGCCACGGCUAACUACGUGCCAGCAGCCGCGGUAAUACGUAGGUGGCAAGCGUUAUCCGGAAUUAUUGGGCGUAAAGCGAGCGCAGGCGGUUAGAUAAGUCUGAAGUUAAAGGCAGUGGCUCAACCAUUGUAGGCUUUGGAAACUGUUUAACUUGAGUGCAGAAGGGGAGAGUGGAAUUCCAUGUGUAGCGGUGAAAUGCGUAGAUAUAUGGAGGAACACCGGUGGCGAAAGCGGCUCUCUGGUCUGUAACUGACGCUGAUGUGCGAAAGCGUGGGGAUCAAACAGG
This 428-nucleotide ribosomal RNA is filed under the name Bacteroidota bacterium. RNAcentral's name for it is "Bacteroidetes bacterium partial 16S ribosomal RNA". It matches the Rfam family "Bacterial small subunit ribosomal RNA", at positions 355 to 776 of the family's 1533-position model. Lineage: Bacteria; Pseudomonadati; Bacteroidota. The record is from RNAcentral.